UUUACAGUUUAACUCCAUCUUUUCUCCCCUUCUGAUGUGGGACUCUAGUGCUCCCAGGUAACUGUUCUACCCAACUCUCCACUGUGAGGAAAUGAACCUCAGACAGUAGGGAUGGCAAGGAAUAUGAGGAAGUAGACUCAAAGAUAGAAUUUAAGUCCCAUGUAGCAUGUAGUUUCUACUAACCCAAGAUGGUAGCAGCCAAUGGCUGGGCGGAAGAGGCAGAACUUCUAGGUUCCCACAGGCAGGCAAGGAGAUGCAGAAGAGGAAAGGGAUUCGACGUGCUUAGGAGGGAGAGAGAGAGAGCCACUGGCCGCCAUGCGAGAUAUCGGGUGGAGUGACCAUUGACUGCUAGUAUCUUUAUUGCUCGAUCAAGAACCAAUUGGGGAAGAGGACCUUCAGCGUUCACAGGCUGAUACCCAGACAAAGCAUCAGAACCACUGCCUAGAGUCCCACACCCAUCAAACAGACCUUGUCCAUGAAGAUGGAGCUCUGGUUCCUGCCCAGACAGCGAUGGGAGCAGGAUAUGGUCAAGAGUAGCUGGGAAGGCACAAGCUGUUCUAAAAUCUCCAACCAGGCCACAGAGCUGGAAGAGGAGAAAGCUCUGUGCCGUAUCGUUCUCAAGAACAAAUUCUUUCCCUCCUGGCUGCUGAGUUUUACCUUGGAUAGCUUUUCUGCUUGGGUUUCAGGAUUCAGUCUGUUCCUGCCUGGGCCCUGAGAGCUCCUUUCUUGUGAGUUUCCCUGGUGCUCGGUGUGAAUCACACAUGGAGGCUCGUUUUAGUCAGUCUCUAUUCAUCAGGUUUUUACGUCCCCAUUUCUUGCCGCUGUCUUGAAUGCUGUGGAACACGUGGGAGGUGGAGCAUAACUGGUAGAAGCAUCACAUUAAGCCUAUGAAGGUCAUGCCACCCUUGGUUCCUCUCCAUUCUCUACCUGCCACCUCAGGAUCCCACUGCUGUGGCUUGGAACCAUUGCUACCCACCAUGCCUUGCUCCACAGUGAAGGACUGAGUUCUCUCUGAAACUGUGAGCCAAAAUAAAUCUUUGCUCUUCUGACAGUUGAUCAUCAUUGUCAAAGUGACUGGAUUUAGAAUCUCUGUGGAAAAGAUACCUCUGGGUGUGUCUACAGGGAUGCUUCCAGACGGCUUUAACAGAAGCAGGAACCUGA
Molecule: long non-coding RNA, 1161 nt
Organism: Mus musculus (house mouse)
Lineage: Eukaryota; Metazoa; Chordata; Mammalia; Rodentia; Muridae
Product: predicted gene, 33765
Exons: 3
Source: RefSeq, a predicted model, not a curated record